RNAcentral lists this ribosomal RNA (420 nucleotides) under uncultured euryarchaeote. Its description in RNAcentral is "bacterial SSU rRNA". It matches the Rfam family "Archaeal small subunit ribosomal RNA", at positions 459 to 879 of the family's 1478-position model. Lineage: Archaea; Methanobacteriati; Methanobacteriota. The record is from RNAcentral.
CAGCCGCCGCGGUAAAACCAGCACCUCAAGUGGUCAGGAUGAUUAUUGGGCCUAAAGCAUCCGUAGCCGGCUCUGUAAGUUUUCGGUUAAAUCUGUACGCUCAACGUACAGGCUGCCGGGAAUACUGCAGAGCUAGGGAGUGGGAGAGGUAGACGGUACUCGGUAGGAAGGGGUAAAAUCCUCUGAUCUAUUGAUGACCACCUGUGGCGAAGGCGGUCUACCAGAACACGUCCGACGGUGAGGGAUGAAAGCUGGGGGAGCAAACCGGAUUAGAUACCCGGGUAGUCCCAGCUGUAAACUAUGCAAACUCAGUGAUGCAUUGGCUUGUGGCCAAUGCAGUGCUGCAGGGAAGCCGUUAAGUUUGCCGCCUGGGAAGUACGUACGCAAGUAUGAAACUUAAAGGAAUUGGCGGGGGAGCAC